GAUUUGCACACUUAUUGUUUAUGUUUAUAAACAUCAAAUACCCGGCAAGGAAAAAUCAAAGAGAAAAUAUUUGUGUUAGUAAAGCUGCUUUAUCUAAAUCAUUAAAAAAUAAAUACAGAAGCUGUACUUUAGAAGUGGAUUAAUGAGAUUUAUUUUAACUUUUUAAAAGUUUAAAUGAGGUUAUUUCUAGAAUAAUUUAGUGACACUAUUAUUUUUUAGGGCAUCAAAAAAAUUUGACCUUAAACAAAAAGAAAGGCGAACUUGAUACUCUGCCUGCUGAGAUCGCUACAGCUAGAAAACCUAUCUAUAAAGUGCCAUAUACUGCUACCGGAAAAUCUCUACCCCACCCAUACUUUUGAGAAUAAAUUAAUUCUGGGCAAAAUAAAUAACAUGAGCAAAUUCGUCAAGACAGCAAUGAAAUUGCAAGAGUGGAAAUAACACUGCCUUGAGUAGAUGCUGCUCAUUGAACAAUAAUGAGAAGGAUCCUCAAUAAACAGGGUAGACCCAGAUCAUGGACGUAGUAAAAAAAAAAGUACAACUUACGUGGCAAGAAGAAAUCAUCAUUUGAGUGAGCAUAAAGUAUCAGUCAAGAGAAAAUAAAUGGAGGAAUUCUUCACUAAUUACUGAUUCUCUGAAACUGUCCCAGAGGUAAUAUAAAAAUAAUGUGUAUUAAUAACUUUUGUGAGGGUUUUAGAGAGAAUAUAUGCAGAAAUGAAUAGGAGAAUUGUUGUUGCAAGUUGCCAAUAAUUGGAUUGUGAGCAAUGCAAAUUUUAUACUUCUCUCUAGAAUUAUUUUUCCAAUGUAAAUUCAGCAUAGCAGUCUGAUCCUAUGAAUGGUGAUUGCUGGACCCAAUCCAACUUCUCAGUUUGCUUCUGUGGACUAUCUAGAUAGCAGUGAAUAUAAUUUAUACAUUAAUUAUGUGAUCAUUUGAUUAAAUGAGCUAAUAUAUGUGCUAAAUCAGUGCUUUUCAAGCCUAUCUACAAAAUAGGAUUCACCUGGGGUGCUUUAAAAGCUACCAGUUCUCUGCCCCAGCCCCAGACCAAUUAAACCAGAUUCUCCUUAGGUGAUUAAACUGUGCAGCCAGAGUUGAGCACCAUGAUACUUAUUAUUUGAUGAUAUAAGGGAAAUCAACUGAUACCUCAGCCCAUAUACAAAUGGUUGUGGCUGAUUUUUUUUUUAAUCCAGGUCUUGUAACUACUGGCCUAGUGGGGCCCAAUAAAUAAAUUCAGUCUAUAUUGGGUUCACUUAAAUGUUUCUUCUCCCAGACCACCUCGUUCAUGGCAAUUAUGACUUCCUCUCCAAGCACUCCCCAACAGAAUUUCCUGUGGUAAUGGAAAUGUUCUAUAUCUGUGCCUUCCAAUAUGGGAGCUAUGAGCCAUAUGCAGCUAUUGAGCUCUUAAAAUGUGGUUAGUAUAUUUUAAUUAGUUUAAAUCUAAAUAGCAAUAUAUGGUUUGUGGUUCCUAUACCGGACAGCACAACUCAAGAAUUAUCAGUGAUCCAGCAACCAAUCAGGACCUGGGAAGGCAGUGAGCUAUCCAGAAGGACAUAUAGGAAACCUUUUUACUGAUUAAUGACCAGUACAACUAAAUAUAUCUCCCAAGAGAAGUAGGAGCAGGAGUAGUAUUUCAGCAGAGCUGUUGGAUAAGAUGUAAUGCUUCUUAGGAUAGCAGGAUGGCCCUUAAUAUUGAGCAGACGAUGUCAGUUUCAGCCACGGACUCUGAAUAGCUCAAAUUUGGCUAGGAUUAGUGGGCAAAAGUGAGUAGGCUACAGCCUUUGGAAGGCUUUGGUUGCCUUCAAAGAUAAGGCAAGUCUCAUCCAUUCUUGAGGAGGUCAGAUAAUUAGUAGUCAGGGCACAGUUAUAAGAAUGAAUAUCUAAUGAUCACUAGAAAUUCAAUAAUUCCUUUGGUUUUAUUGUGAUUCACUCAAAACCUAAAAACUUUUAGAGAUCAUAUUAAUGCUUUAAGUAAACUGAAAACGGCACAGUAUUUCUCUAGACUUCUGAGUACAUUUUUUACUAUGGUUGUUCUAAAAAUGGUACUGCUAAAGAGAGAUCUGGACUACCUAAUCCAAAGUUUAAUGUGAGGUCUGCUUUGUUAUGUAAAUUAGAAUAUCAUCUUUAUAAACAAGCUCUGUCCAGAAGGUAGUAGAAUAAUUUUUUGUUCAUAAAAAUUAUGUGGGGGCUUCCCUGGUGGUGUGGUGGUUGGGACGCGUGUUCGUGCCCCGGUCCGGGAGGGUCCCACGUGCCGCGGAGCGGCUGGGCCCGUGAGCUGCGGCUGCUGGGCCUGCGCCUCUGGAGCCUGUGCUCCGCGGCGGGAGAGGCCACAACGGUGGGAGGCCCGCGUAUCGC
Molecule: long non-coding RNA, 2347 nt
Organism: Phocoena sinus (vaquita)
Lineage: Eukaryota; Metazoa; Chordata; Mammalia; Artiodactyla; Phocoenidae
Source: Ensembl